ACCUCCAAUAGAUCACAAAUCUUCUAUUCUUACUCUUGAGGCUUUCGAAUCAAAACUUGAUAAAAUUAUGAUUUUGUUCCUGAAAUAUAAUAAAUAUUUUUUUCAAGCCAAAAUUAUUGUAACCCCCUCAAAUAUUUUGUAAUCAUCAAAAUCAAUUUAUGGAGCAACACUUUCAAUUGAAACUCAAUCCCAGCAAGUGCACAUUCAACAUCACCUCUGAUAAAUUCUUAGGCUUCAUGAUAAAAGAAAGAAAAAAUAUUUCUUUUCAGAUAGCUCAGAUUACAUCUAAAUUUUUUUUAUUAAUCUAUAUGAAUAAGAAUCAAAUUCUUACUCGAUUAGCAGUGAAAUCAGAGAUCAAAUCUUCAAAAAUUUGAAACAAUCCUUUGUGGAGGCUUGAAAGUGCAGACUUUCUACUUCGCAUUCACGCCAAACACCGCAGGAAAGUG
Molecule: long non-coding RNA, 446 nt
Filed under: Elaeis guineensis (African oil palm)
Lineage: Eukaryota; Viridiplantae; Streptophyta; Magnoliopsida; Arecales; Arecaceae
Description: long non-coding RNA (EGUI_LNC066480)
Source: RNAcentral